GAUGAACGCUAGCUACAGGCUUAACACAUGCAAGUCGAGGGGAAACGGCAUUGAGUGCUUGCACUCUUUGGACGUCGACCGGCGCACGGGUGAGUAACGCGUAUCCAACCUUCCCAUUACUGUGGGAUAACCUGCCGAAAGGCAGACUAAUACCGCAUAGUCUUCGAUGACGGCAUCAGAUUUGAAGUAAAGAUUUAUCGGUAAUGGAUGGGGAUGCGUCUGAUUAGCUUGUUGGCGGGGUAACGGCCCACCAAGGCUACGAUCAGUAGGGGUUCUGAGAGGAAGGUCCCCCACAUUGGAACUGAGACACGGUUCAAACUCCUACGGGAGGCAGCAGUGAGGAAUAUUGGUCAAUGGACGGAAGUCUGAACCAGCCAAGUAGCGUGCAGGAUGACGGCCCUAUGGGUUGUAAACUGCUUUUGUAUGGGGAUAAAGUUAGGGACGUGUCCCUAUUUGCAGGUACCAUACGAAUAAGGACCGGCUAAUUCCGUGCCAGCAGCCGCGGUAAUACGGAAGGUCCAGGCGUUAUCCGGAUUUAUUGGGUUUAAAGGGAGCGUAGGCUGGAGAUUAAGUGUGUUGUGAAAUGUAGACGCUCAACGUCUGAAUUGCAGCGCAUACUGGUUUCCUUGAGUACGCACAACGUUGGCGGAAUUCGUCGUGUAGCGGUGAAAUGCUUAGAUAUGACGAAGAACUCCGAUUGCGAAGGCAGCUGACGGGAGCGCAACUGACGCUUAAGCUCGAAGGUGCGGGUAUCAAACAGG
RNAcentral lists this ribosomal RNA (761 nucleotides) under Prevotella melaninogenica. RNAcentral describes it as "bacterial SSU rRNA". It matches the Rfam family "Bacterial small subunit ribosomal RNA", at positions 28 to 776 of the family's 1533-position model. The record is from RNAcentral. Lineage: Bacteria; Pseudomonadati; Bacteroidota; Bacteroidia; Bacteroidales; Prevotellaceae.